UUGCAAUAUGUUUGCAAUUUCUGUAUAUAUAAUUUUCUUGGGGGAAGAUAGAUUUCUCCGAUUGAGUUGUUUGAGAUGCUUUAAAAAGUUAUUAUUAUUCUCAGGUAAGUAGGAGAGGAUUUGACUCUUAACUCCGUUGAGAGUCGGAGUCAAAGGUGAGGUUCAUGGUUUUCUAUCGAGCACGAGAUAUACAUGUCAACUCAAUAGGUAGCUUGUGUGUGAUGCAUAGCUUGAUCUAACGAGACACUUCCGCUCCAUAAAUCUCACCUCAAACUCAAGCUCUCGAUGGAGUUGAGAGAUAAAAUCUUAACUCAACUCAAAGACAAUACAAAUGUAUUAAAAGGUUCAUCAGCUCAAUUUCUUUUUAAAAAAAAAAUUCAACUUCCCCUCAUCACAAAUAAAAUAAAUUUAAAUAAUGAGUAUUGGAAAGUUAAUAGAAAUAGUAACUAAAAUAUUUAAAUUAAGUUAAAAAGAGAUAGUUUUUGUAUUUGUCUGGAUUUGUUACAUUGAGAUCCAUGGGCUACCCAUGAAAUCUCUUCCUUUUUCUCUCAAUCUCAGAGUUACGGCUUUAUAAGCCAAACCCCAUCUCUCACUUUUUUCAGUUUUCUCUUACAAAGAGAUUUCAACUUUCCCUCUCCUAAUAAUUUCCUCAAAAGAAUAUGGAGGAAAAAAAAAAGCUUUCAGAGAAAAAAGCAAUACACAACCUUCCACACGAUCAACCAGCACUGAUGGAUGGGAUUAUGAUGAUGAAGGUCAAGCAAGUACUGCUGAAGAAUGAAUUCCAAUUCGGUGCAGCUGCCACCUCCAUUGCUACUUGUUCAUCUUAAUUUGGUGCUAUCCUACCUGAGCUUCUUUUUGUAUUUUAAUUUCUUAGUAUUUUUUUCUUUCUUUUUUUAAAUAUAAAAUAUUCAUCUUCUUGACCUUGUAAGACCUUUUCUUGACCUUGUAAGACCCAGUCCAGUAUUUCCAACUCUUCUUCUCCUUCCUUGUCUAUCCCUCCUGAGCUGUUUGUAACUUUGAAAUGGUCAAAUCAUAUGCCAAUUCCUUUUCUAGGUUUUUCUGAAUAUUCUUUUUGCAUAUCUUUGGGAAUGAAAUGGUGAAAAUCUUUUAAUGUC
Molecule: long non-coding RNA, 1115 nt
Organism: Gossypium raimondii (Peruvian cotton)
Lineage: Eukaryota; Viridiplantae; Streptophyta; Magnoliopsida; Malvales; Malvaceae
Exons: 2
Source: RefSeq, a predicted model, not a curated record